Molecule: ribosomal RNA, 1457 nt
Filed under: Salmonella enterica subsp. enterica serovar Kentucky
Lineage: Bacteria; Pseudomonadati; Pseudomonadota; Gammaproteobacteria; Enterobacterales; Enterobacteriaceae
Description: bacterial SSU rRNA
Rfam family: Bacterial small subunit ribosomal RNA
Source: RNAcentral
UGACGAGUGGCGGACGGGUGAGUAAUGUCUGGGAAACUGCCUGAUGGAGGGGGAUAACUACUGGAAACGGUGGCUAAUACCGCAUAACGUCGCAAGACCAAAGAGGGGGACCUUCGGGCCUCUUGCCAUCAGAUGUGCCCAGAUGGGAUUAGCUUGUUGGUGAGGUAACGGCUCACCAAGGCGACGAUCCCUAGCUGGUCUGAGAGGAUGACCAGCCACACUGGAACUGAGACACGGUCCAGACUCCUACGGGAGGCAGCAGUGGGGAAUAUUGCACAAUGGGCGCAAGCCUGAUGCAGCCAUGCCGCGUGUAUGAAGAAGGCCUUCGGGUUGUAAAGUACUUUCAGCGGGGAGGAAGGUGUUGUGGUUAAUAACCGCAGCAAUUGACGUUACCCGCAGAAGAAGCACCGGCUAACUCCGUGCCAGCAGCCGCGGUAAUACGGAGGGUGCAAGCGUUAAUCGGAAUUACUGGGCGUAAAGCGCACGCAGGCGGUCUGUCAAGUCGGAUGUGAAAUCCCCGGGCUCAACCUGGGAACUGCAUUCGAAACUGGCAGGCUUGAGUCUUGUAGAGGGGGGUAGAAUUCCAGGUGUAGCGGUGAAAUGCGUAGAGAUCUGGAGGAAUACCGGUGGCGAAGGCGGCCCCCUGGACAAAGACUGACGCUCAGGUGCGAAAGCGUGGGGAGCAAACAGGAUUAGAUACCCUGGUAGUCCACGCCGUAAACGAUGUCUACUUGGAGGUUGUGCCCUUGAGGCGUGGCUUCCGGAGCUAACGCGUUAAGUAGACCGCCUGGGGAGUACGGCCGCAAGGUUAAAACUCAAAUGAAUUGACGGGGGCCCGCACAAGCGGUGGAGCAUGUGGUUUAAUUCGAUGCAACGCGAAGAACCUUACCUGGUCUUGACAUCCACAGAACUUUCCAGAGAUGGAUUGGUGCCUUCGGGAACUGUGAGACAGGUGCUGCAUGGCUGUCGUCAGCUCGUGUUGUGAAAUGUUGGGUUAAGUCCCGCAACGAGCGCAACCCUUAUCCUUUGUUGCCAGCGGUUAGGCCGGGAACUCAAAGGAGACUGCCAGUGAUAAACUGGAGGAAGGUGGGGAUGACGUCAAGUCAUCAUGGCCCUUACGACCAGGGCUACACACGUGCUACAAUGGCGCAUACAAAGAGAAGCGACCUCGCGAGAGCAAGCGGACCUCAUAAAGUGCGUCGUAGUCCGGAUUGGAGUCUGCAACUCGACUCCAUGAAGUCGGAAUCGCUAGUAAUCGUGGAUCAGAAUGCCACGGUGAAUACGUUCCCGGGCCUUGUACACACCGCCCGUCACACCAUGGGAGUGGGUUGCAAAAGAAGUAGGUAGCUUAACCUUCGGGAGGGCGCUUACCACUUUGUGAUUCAUGACUGGGGUGAAGUCGUAACAAGGUAACCGUAGGGGAACCUGCGGUUGGAUCACCUCCUUACCUUAAAGAA